Molecule: ribosomal RNA, 995 nt
Filed under: Salmonella enterica
Lineage: Bacteria; Pseudomonadati; Pseudomonadota; Gammaproteobacteria; Enterobacterales; Enterobacteriaceae
Also listed under: 1 other name
Description: bacterial SSU rRNA
Rfam family: Bacterial small subunit ribosomal RNA
Source: RNAcentral
UAAUGUCUGGGAAACUGCCUGAUGGAGGGGGAUAACUACUGGAAACGGUGGCUAAUACCGCAUAACGUCGCAAGACCAAAGAGGGGGACCUUCGGGCCUCUUGCCAUCAGAUGUGCCCAGAUGGGAUUAGCUUGUUGGUGAGGUAACGGCUCACCAAGGCGACGAUCCCUAGCUGGUCUGAGAGGAUGACCAGCCACACUGGAACUGAGACACGGUCCAGACUCCUACGGGAGGCAGCAGUGGGGAAUAUUGCACAAUGGGCGCAAGCCUGAUGCAGCCAUGCCGCGUGUAUGAAGAAGGCCUUCGGGUUGUAAAGUACUUUCAGCGGGGAGGAAGGUGUUGUGGUUAAUAACCGCAGCAAUUGACGUUACCCGCAGAAGAAGCACCGGCUAACUCCGUGCCAGCAGCCGCGGUAAUACGGAGGGUGCAAGCGUUAAUCGGAAUUACUGGGCGUAAAGCGCACGCAGGCGGUCUGUCAAGUCGGAUGUGAAAUCCCCGGGCUCAACCUGGGAACUGCAUUCGAAACUGGCAGGCUUGAGUCUUGUAGAGGGGGGUAGAAUUCCAGGUGUAGCGGUGAAAUGCGUAGAGAUCUGGAGGAAUACCGGUGGCGAAGGCGGCCCCCUGGACAAAGACUGACGCUCAGGUGCGAAAGCGUGGGGAGCAAACAGGAUUAGAUACCCUGGUAGUCCACGCCGUAAACGAUGUCUACUUGGAGGUUGUGCCCUUGAGGCGUGGCUUCCGGAGCUAACGCGUUAAGUAGACCGCCUGGGGAGUACGGCCGCAAGGUUAAAACUCAAAUGAAUUGACGGGGGCCCGCACAAGCGGUGGAGCAUGUGGUUUAAUUCGAUGCAACGCGAAGAACCUUACCUGGUCUUGACAUCCACAGAAGAAUCCAGAGAUGGAUUUGUGCCUUCGGGAACUGUGAGACAGGUGCUGCAUGGCUGUCGUCAGCUCGUGUUGUGAAAUGUUGGGUUAAGUCCCGCAACGAGCGCAAC